UGGGGAAUAUUGCACAAUGGUCGGAAGUUUGAUGCAGCGACGCCGCGUGGAGGGUGUAGGCCUUCGUGUUGUUAACUCCUUUUUCUCGCGAAAAAGGCACCGUUUUGGCUGUGUCGACGGUACCGGGGGAAGAAGCGCCGGCUAACUACGUGCCAGCACCCGCGGUAAUACGUAGGUCGCGAGCGUUGUCCGGAUUUAUUGGGCGUCAAGAGCUCGUAGGUGGUUCGUCGCGUCUGUCAUGAAAGCCAGCAGCUUCACUGUUGGUCUGCGGUGGGUACGGGCGGGCUUGAGUGCGGUAGAGGAAACUGGCAUUCCUGGUGUAGCGGUGGAAUGCGCAGAUAUCAGGAGGAACACCGAUGGCGAAGGCAGGUCACUGGGCCGUUAAUGACACUGAAGAGCGAAGGCGUGGGGAGCGAACAGG
This 421-nucleotide ribosomal RNA is filed under the name Fusobacteriota bacterium. RNAcentral's name for it is "Fusobacteria bacterium partial 16S ribosomal RNA". It matches the Rfam family "Bacterial small subunit ribosomal RNA", at positions 355 to 776 of the family's 1533-position model. The record is from RNAcentral. Lineage: Bacteria; Fusobacteriati; Fusobacteriota.